AUGGCGAGGAAGGCAGCAGCGGCCAUGGACGGCAAGAGCUCCGAGCUCGCGAGGGCCGUGGCGGAGGCGGAGGCGAGGGAGGAACGGCUGAGGCGGGAGCUGGAGGCAGCGCUGGCGCGGGUGGCCGUGGCGGAGGAGGCCGAGGAGCGGCUGUGCGUGCAGCUCGGCGAGCUGGAGGCCGAGGCCAUGACGCAGGCCAUGGAGUACCAGCAGCACGUCAGGGCGCUCUCCGAGAGGCUCGCCCUCAUGGACGGCCUGCUCAGGUCCUCCGGCCUCCACAGCGGCGUCGUGCAAUCCGGCCUUCACUGA
This 309-nucleotide ribosomal RNA is filed under the name Triticum aestivum (bread wheat). RNAcentral's name for it is "partial small subunit ribosomal RNA". The record is from RNAcentral. Lineage: Eukaryota; Viridiplantae; Streptophyta; Magnoliopsida; Poales; Poaceae.